GCUGGUGUAGCUCAAUUGGCAGAGCAGCUGAUUUGUAAUCAGCAGGUUGCGGGUUCGAGGGUUGGGAGUG
RNAcentral lists this transfer RNA (70 nucleotides) under Natronincola ferrireducens. Its description in RNAcentral is "tRNA_Pseudo_TGT". It matches the Rfam family "tRNA", at positions 1 to 59 of the family's 71-position model. From Rfam's summary of the family: Transfer RNA (tRNA) molecules are approximately 80 nucleotides in length. Lineage: Bacteria; Bacillati; Bacillota; Clostridia; Peptostreptococcales; Natronincolaceae. The record is from RNAcentral.